UACGGAGGGGCAAGCGUUGUUCGGAAUUACUGGGCGUAAAGGGCGCGCAGGCGGCUGCUCAAGUCAGGCGUGAAAGGCCUGGGCUCAACCCGGGAAUUGCGCUUGAGACUGGGCUGGCUUGAGUGCGGGAGAGGAUGGUGGAAUUCCCAGUGUAGAGGUGAAAUUCGUAGAUAUUGGGAAGAGCACCGGUGGCGAAGGCGGCCAUCUGGACCGCAACUGACGCUGAGGCGCGAAAGCGUGGGAGCAAACAGG
Molecule: ribosomal RNA, 252 nt
Filed under: uncultured bacterium
Lineage: Bacteria
Description: partial 16S ribosomal RNA
Rfam family: Bacterial small subunit ribosomal RNA
Source: RNAcentral